AUUAGGUCUGUGCACCAAGAACAUCCUCUGAUCAUAUUUAAAGGGAUAUGUAAUUACGUUAACAUCCGCGUAGGUCGCGUGGACAGGCCGUCGCGAGGCAAUAUUGAGCUUCUUAUUUCUGAAACACUAACUGUUCCAGUUGGUCAGAGACAGCAUCGAAGUAGCAAGGGAUUGUGCGAGUGCAUUAGUAUUUCAUGAUGCACUAAAGCAUACAAACGUCUUGAAUAAUUUCCAGAGACACACAAAGAGAGGAGGAGAUUCUAAAAAUAGUUCCUGCUUUUUUUCUCACCCAAGCGCAAUGCCGGGAUGAAGUGAAGUUCAUAGCCUGGAACAGAUGUUGGCUGUUCGCCUUGCUGCAUGAAGCAAGGAUGUGAGACUGGAUAAACUAUACUAGCCCCAUGAUGGUCAGUUUGCUCCAUGACCAGUCGGCUUUACCAUUAAUACUGUCACUCCUGGUUGUGGGCCAGGCAUAUGAACACUUCGUAUGUAAAGACGAGUGCUACAACAUACAGUUUUCCGACGAAGACGUCGAUACGCCAGACGACGUCAACUCAACGUCAAAUGACGACAGAAGAAAAUCCAAUAUGGCGGAAUUCCUCUACACCGCGCCCUGCCCUCCUAUCUGGAACUUUACUCUGGCGUGCAACUAUUUCUCCAGAAAGACGAUUAGUUGUGAGGAGAGUACAUCUAUUCUAAAGCGAUGCCUUCAGCAUUAUGAUUCCUACAUUCCAUGUAACACAACACUUGACGUCAUAGAACGCUGUAUGGAGGAAAACGCCACCCAGUGUGAAAGUCUGUUUGACUUAUAUAACAACUACUGCUACAAUACGUGUAGAACUUACUGUGAUGAGACCAAGGAGAAACAUUUUAGUGAAAAUGAUACGGAAUCAGGGCUAAUAUUGAUACCAAGGGGAGGUAACUCUAAUCGUUCAAACAAGAAGGGAAAGAACUCCUCCGAUACUUUUGUUAAAUAUAAUGGAAUAUUUUUUAAUAUGUCUGACGCUAAUAACACCCAUAUCAAAAUCAUCAGUGUGAGAGGCGUACGAGUGCCGGACAGCUGGACGUGUGGCGUCUUGUGCAUCAUCCUCUUGAUUGGUGGGGCGUUUGUUUUAAUCGGAAUACUUGGACUCAUAGCUUUCUGCACAGUGAAAAGAUAUCGCCAAGAGGAAAACUCAUACAAAAUCCACAGCCAAGACAAAUGUGUCGGGCCUGACGAAUGUGGUGCAAUGUCAGACAGCGCGUUGUUGCCCACAAUGGGGUUGAAAGCGAAGCAGCAUCACAUUCAUGGAAGAUACAGACACCAAGCGGUGCGAGACACGUCGUUUACCCAAGUACAUUUUCCGAAUGGAUCUUCCAGACUGUUAGGAGAAAUAUUACCUGUGGAGGAGAUGGAGAAUACCCAGCUUUGAGGGUGGGGAUUCACUGGGUGUGUCUGGAUGCACCAGUUGAAGGGUGUAUCAUUGCGCAUGUGUGACUGAGGAGAUAAUGAUGGGGCAUAUUAUCAUAUAUUUUAUUCCAUAUGGCUUCAGAUGGUGGGCGGGGAAAAUGAUGAUAAAAAUAAUAUUACACCGUCAGUAAUGAUCAUGGCGUUGCACAAUGUCAGUAGUCACUACCCAAAUUUCGGCAUUUUGAGUAGUCAUAUCCAAAUGUCAAUUUUAUUGUAAAAAGAAAUCAUAGGGGUUAAAUAUGUAUAAUUCUUAAUUCAUUGAGGCCAGGUGGCGUAAACUAAUCACUGUAACGGAAAUUCACUAUUUUAUAGAACUAUGAAGAGCAACCAGCAGAAAACAACUCAAUAGAAAUCACAUUCGUUCUACCUCGAUUUCUUCCGACUGUGUACGAGACGGGCUCGUCUUUUAACCAAAGUGUGCUAAAGAACAGUGAUGUCUGAGUGAAUGAGAUGCUGACCCAGCCAAUGUGGCUCACGAUGUAUCACUAGACUCAAAGAAAGACUGGGAGGUCGAAAUGGACGUCAUGUAAAAGGAAGUGGACACAACGAAGCAUUUAUGAUCAAAACAGAAUGAUCCAUUCUUGGGUAUUGUUUAGUAAUAAUGUGUUUUUAUUUGUAACAUACCAUAUCAUAGCAUCAGUACCAUGUUUUUUUUACGAAAGCGGGUGUUUUAUUACUUGCUUGGAGGACCUUCCGUCCGAAAUGACCCAAAUGUGGAAGAAAGUUAUUAUUUUAAGAGUAAUCCUUCUUUCACAACAGUAUCUGUAAAAAGACAUUUCAAGGUAGAAUUCUAGGGAGAAAUGACUAUCGAAACUGCAACACUCCAAGUGUUUCCAAUAUAAGAUUUUUUUCCCAUAAAUUCACAUUAUUGUCGACCACAUAUAUAAGAGAUCAGUUUUUAAAAUAUAUUUGUGAGGCAUUCUUUUUUCAUUUCGCGAUCGACCGACCACCCUACGGUUUUGAAAACACAUUCAUAAGCUAAGAAAUAAGCAAAGCUAAUCAUUGCAAGCCUUAAACAAAAUAUCCGAUAUACGACUGCAAUUAAUAAAAUGGUACACCUUACACGAUGAAACACUCUCCCACGCUCGCACACACACAUGCACGGGCAGCACUAGCAUACGUAUGUAUCGUUCGGUAUUUCAAUGAAAACAAUAAUUAUUAAUCUCGUAUGACUUUGACUUUGCAACUGUCACUUCACACAUACUCCAUACCUCCUAUAUACAAAUAUCCUUGUCAAUGUCCAUGAAAUGAUAACGUCACAUAACUAUUACACGAAUACCUUCAGAGGUGUGUUUAUAUAUAGAGGGGUGUUUAAUAAUACAAAUUUCGGCAGUGACAGAAAGGAUGCAGAGAACUUAAGGAGAGCAGCGACAGUACCUUCAAAGGUGUGUUUAUAUAUACAGGGGUUUUUAAUAAUACAAAUUUCAGCAGUGACAGAACGGAUGCAGAGAACUUAAGGAGAGCAGCGACUGUACCUUCAAAGGUGUGUUUAUAUAUAGAGGGGUGUUUAAUAAUACUAAUUUCGGCAGUGACAGAACGAAUGCAGAGAACUUAAGGAGAGCAGCGACUGUACCUUCAAAGGUGUGUUUAUAUAUAGAGGGGUGUUUAAUAAUACUAAUUUCGGCAGUGACAGAACGAAUGCAGAGAACUUAAGGAGAGCAGCGACUGUACCUUCAAAGGUGUGUUUAUAUAUACAGGGGUGUUUAAUAAUACAAAUUUCGGCAGUGACAGAAAGGAUGCAGAGAACUUAAGGGGAGCAGAGACAGUUCCUCUGUGCAUACCAUAUCUGCAAAGAUAAUCAAAGUGCAACGAUGUCUGGCGCAAAACUGCAGUCGCAUCACUCAACACAAUCUCACUGUAAAAUACACUUGUUUCAGUAGUAAAUCUACACUGAUGUGUUUUCAAAGAACAUCACAUGUGACAAAACGACGAAAGAGAGAUUUUACCAGGAAAUACGACCCGCCAGCAACUGAUCCCACAACAGAUUUAUCUGUUGUGAGAACUCGAGUUUCCGAAGACAACCGAACCACUUUUUCUUGUCCACAUCCUGAAAUUGAUACCCAAAUAGAAACGAUAGCUCUCGAGUUAAUUUACUUUUAUUUGCUUUUGGAUUUUUUUUCUUAGACAUAAGAAAUCAAAUCAUUGUCAUCAUCAUUAUUAUUCACAUUAUUCUGAUAUUUACGUCCAUGAAACAUUAAACAUAAGACGCUAAACGACAUCAGUUGUGCUUAAAUGUAAAUCUUGUUUCACUAAUGAACAAAACCAUGCAUACUCUCAUUCAGCACUAUCAUUUAACAUCAUUGCGAAAUAUCACCCAUUCGGUUUAUAAACAUCAAAAGCUUAGGCUUAUAACUGGACUAGAGACUGGCGUUAAACAACAAACAAACAGACAAACAUUGCCGUUUGACAUCAUGUCACACAAGCCUAUUUGCCCCAUUGUUUGUAAGCGGAAACUAUAUCAGUACGCACUCAAAGGUCGACAUCAUCAAGCAUAUUAAGUUUUUCAAGAUUUUUGUAUUUUUGUACAAUAUCAUUACGUAUAAUGUUGUAUGUUAAUAAUAUAUAAAAAUUAAUUAUAUGAAAGUCGUUGCUACUUGCCCAAAGACUGUAUGUACGACUUGACCUUGGAAUACAACCUACUGGUAUUAAUAGGUGAUGAGUUCACUUUCUGAAAAUGUGUUCAGAUUUGCACGAAGCCCCGGCGGAAACGAGAGUUCAAUCUAAACAAUUUGCUUGGUUAUCAACCUCAAUCCAACUUCCAUCCAUUUCAAGUUGUCGCUACAAUGGCCACAAUUUACGAUUGUCGCUAACGAAGCAAUAGGGAACCUGUAUGAUUGGAAUAAUGAGGAAGUUACUCACAACCAAUUGGGACACGUCUCUUACAUGUCAGCUCUUUCAAACUAGAUAUUCUUGCGAGAUAUCAUGUCACGGUUUAUUGAACGAUUUGGGUGUUGAGUUCCCAAAUGGGGGCGUAUUAACUGUACGCCGCGGGACUGAUGUAGACUUUGUGCAGUUCGUUAUGUGGUUUAUGGACGAGUAUUUUGGUCGUGUGGCUAUCGCUAUUUCAGGAUUGAGAUUUGCAAAUGAGGAAGUGAGAAUAAAGACAUGACACCGAUCUGUAAAUUCUAUGUUUGGAAUUGAAUAUCACGUAAUGUGAAUGGAAACGUUGGAUUUGGCAGCGAUUUAUGGAGAUUUUAUUUAAAGAUUAAGAAACUGGGAAAUGAGGAAUGAGUUGGGUGUUGGGUGGGAAUGAGGAUGUGGUAGAGGAUCGAGGAGCGGGUUAAGGAUGGAGAAAUGGAAAUUAUUCAUUUGGAAUUGGAAUACAAACUCGGACUGGGGUUGGACUUUUAAUUUGAUAUUGAAAAUGGACCCGGAAAACCGAUAUUCCGCAUUUGCGAUAAAAAUAGCUUUUCAAUAAUUUAUUAUUCAGAGAUAACAUUGCUUUCAUAGUUUUGGUAAAGUAGAACCCAUAAUUGUGUUGUUGGUUAUUGAAUGUGUUUUAACACGUCUACAAGAUGAAUAAUUAUCAUCCUUAAUUUGGGCUUUAAAUGCUUAUUAUGCAUCACAUUAGUGUCACCUGUCUCUCACCGCUCAUUAUGUAUUUAUGUUUGUUUAUCUUUAUCUGUUAAGUAAAUGAAAUGACAUUUACUUGUCACCACUGGCAUGUGGAGAGGAGUGCCACAUUUUUGUAAUAAUUUGUUAUUGACAUGAAUGUCUAGUAUAAUAAAUAUAUUGAUAUUUUUACUAA
Molecule: unclassified non-coding RNA, 5195 nt
Filed under: Haliotis rufescens (red abalone)
Lineage: Eukaryota; Metazoa; Mollusca; Gastropoda; Lepetellida; Haliotidae
Description: uncharacterized LOC124144514, transcript variant X1
Source: RNAcentral